GGGCGCAUGGUGUAGUUGGUUAUCACGCUCGCUUAGCAGUUGACCCAAAAAUCAAACCUGCGAGAGGUGUUGGGUUCAAUUCCCAAUGCGUCCA
Mycena vitilis is the source of this 94-nucleotide non-coding RNA. The record is from the annotation of a GenBank genome assembly. Lineage: Eukaryota; Fungi; Basidiomycota; Agaricomycetes; Agaricales; Mycenaceae.